This 399-nucleotide ribosomal RNA is filed under the name Triticum aestivum (bread wheat). RNAcentral describes it as "partial small subunit ribosomal RNA". The record is from RNAcentral. Lineage: Eukaryota; Viridiplantae; Streptophyta; Magnoliopsida; Poales; Poaceae.
AUGAGUGCGACAUCAUUUCAAGUGUAUGGUACAUUGUCAUUGUCCAUACCUACAUCAACUACGUCUUUGCGACAAGGUAACAGUAAAGGUAUUGAUGAUAUAACUUCACAUGAGAAUGAUGCAUGCCUAAUUAACUUAAAUACAUCAUGUGUUGAGUUACCUGUUGAUUUGAGCACGCCACCUAUUUUAGAGAAUCAUGUUACUGUCAUGAAUGCAUCAUGUGAUCAAACAACUGAAAUACCAACGAUUUUGAGUGCGCCCAUUGAAUUAACUGUUGAUGUCAAAGAACCAUGUGAAUCAGGAAAUAAAUCUGAUUUGGAUCAAAUACAUUUUAAAAUAAUUGUGCCAAUGUUUAAUCAUUUUGAUAUGACCUCUAUCUUGGUGAUCAUUCUGUGUUAA